CGGGAUGUAAUUCAGCGGCCAGAAGCCAUGCUUUGGGAGCAUGGAGUCGUUGGUUCAAAUCCAACCAUCCCGAC
Molecule: transfer RNA, 74 nt
Filed under: Microcoleus asticus IPMA8
Lineage: Bacteria; Bacillati; Cyanobacteriota; Cyanophyceae; Oscillatoriales; Microcoleaceae
Description: tRNA-Pro
Rfam family: tRNA
About the family: Transfer RNA (tRNA) molecules are approximately 80 nucleotides in length. Their secondary structure includes four short double-helical elements and three loops (D, anti-codon, and T loops).
Source: RNAcentral